RNAcentral lists this ribosomal RNA (478 nucleotides) under uncultured bacterium. Its description in RNAcentral is "partial 16S ribosomal RNA". It matches the Rfam family "Bacterial small subunit ribosomal RNA", at positions 28 to 523 of the family's 1533-position model. The record is from RNAcentral.
GACGAGCGCUGGCGGCGUGCUUAACACAUGCAGGCCGAACGGUAAGGCCCUUCGGGGUACACGAGUGGCGAACGGGUGAGUAACACGUGGGUGAUCUGCCCUGCACUUCGGGAUAAGCCUGGGAAACUGGGUCUAAUACCGGAUAGGACCACUGCCUGCAUGGGUGGUGGUGGAAAGCUUUUGCGGUGUGGGAUGGGCCCGCGGCCUAUCAGCUUGUUGGUGGGGUGAUGGCCUGCCAAGGCGACGACGGGUAGCCGGCCUGAGAGGGUGACCGGCCACACUGGGACUGAGAUACGGCCCAGACUCCUACGGGAGGCAGCAGUGGGGAAUAUUGCACAGUGGGCGCAAGCCUGAUGCAGCGACGCCGCGUGAGGGAUGACGGCCUUCGGGUUGUAAACCUCUUUCAGCACCGACGAAGCGCAAGUGACGGUAGGUGCAGAAGAAGGACCGGCCAACUACGUGCCAGCAGCCGCCGUAA